CCUACGGGAGGCUGCAGUGGGGAAUAUUGGGCAAUGGGCGCAAGCCUGACCCAGCAACGCCGCGUGAAGGAAGAAGGCUUUCGGGUUGUAAACCUCUUUUCUGAGGGACGAAGAAAGUGACGGUACCUCAGGAAUAAGCCACGGCUAACUACGUGCCAGCAGCCGCGGCAAUACGUAGGUGGCAAGCGUUAUCCGGAUUUAUUGGGUGUAAAGGGCGUGUAGGCGGGAAAGCAAGUCAGAUGUGAAAACUCAGGGCUCAACCCUGAGACUGCAUUUGAAACUGGUUGUCUUGAGUGCUGGAGAGGCAGUCGGAAUUCGGUGUGUAGCGGUGAAAUGCGUAGAUAUACGGAGGAACACCAGUGGCGAAGGCGGAUUGCUAGACAGUAACUGACGCUGAGGCGCGAAAGCGUGGGGAGCAAACAGGAUUAGAUACCCGGGUAGUC
RNAcentral lists this ribosomal RNA (443 nucleotides) under uncultured bacterium. RNAcentral describes it as "partial 16S ribosomal RNA". It matches the Rfam family "Bacterial small subunit ribosomal RNA", at positions 338 to 795 of the family's 1533-position model. The record is from RNAcentral.